GAAACACCCAUCAUCUUCUUCAGUUGGUAUAUGUGCUUAUUGUCUCAAAGAUCGUUUAGUCAAGCUGGUCUGUUCUGAUUGUGGAGAGCAAAGGCUCUCUUCUUGCUCUUGCUCCGAGAUCUCUUCCAAUCGCAAUUCCUGCACUGUUGAGCCCAAAACUAGUGGAGAGAAAGCAGAUGAAAUAAUCUUGCUUAAGAGAAGCAGUAGUAGCUGUGUUGAGAUCAAGAGGAAAGGUGGGUUUUGGCGGAUUGGCAAG
This 256-nucleotide unclassified non-coding RNA is filed under the name Hevea brasiliensis (rubber tree). Lineage: Eukaryota; Viridiplantae; Streptophyta; Magnoliopsida; Malpighiales; Euphorbiaceae. The record is from RNAcentral.